Molecule: small nuclear RNA, 150 nt
Organism: Abrus precatorius (Indian licorice)
Lineage: Eukaryota; Viridiplantae; Streptophyta; Magnoliopsida; Fabales; Fabaceae
Product: U12 minor spliceosomal RNA
Exons: 1
Source: RefSeq, a predicted model, not a curated record
UUGCCUUAAACUAAUGAGUAAGGAAAACAAAGCGAACGGUGGGAGCCGGUCGCAGCACUCAUUCUGAGGUGCAAGAAUUUAUGGAGGGGUUAUAGGCUGGCCAUGUGUUGACGCUGCUUACUUUGCAGAACUCGCGUGUGCGGGCCUCCC